Poecilia latipinna (sailfin molly) is the source of this 1103-nucleotide long non-coding RNA. RefSeq lists it as uncharacterized. Lineage: Eukaryota; Metazoa; Chordata; Actinopteri; Cyprinodontiformes; Poeciliidae. The transcript has 2 exons. The record is from RefSeq and is a predicted model, not a curated record.
GAGAAGAAGAAGAGAGCCAGAAAUGAUCAUCAUCAUCAUCAUCAUCAUCAUCAUCACUACAACAUGCCCUCGACAGUAACUGACACAUUCCACAGCCACAUGGAUUAAGUUACGUGAGAUGACGCUCCCAACAACAGACUGAUAGAAGAUCUGCUCCAUCUGCUGCAAACCUUGAAGGAUUUUAAUUUCCUGAAGAAGUCCAGUCUGCUCUGUCCCUUCUUGCUUCACUGUUGUGUCUCCAGUCCAGUCUAUUGUCCAGAUGAACCCUGAAGUAUUUAUAUUCCUCAACCACCUCCACUUCAUACUGGUGAUGUCUGAAACCAGAUGGAUUGUGUCCUUUGCAGUUGUACCAUAAUCCAUCAAUCCACCAAUAAAAGAUGAUGGAUUGAGCAGAGCUCUGCCUUCAACCUCUCCAGACCUGCCUGCUGGGUUCCUCGGCGUUGAUGUUACUGUUUUUCUCUUGCUUUUUUUUUUUUUUUUUGACUGACCAGGGGAAUCAAAAAUUUUGUAAAUAACAUAUUAAUUUAUAAAAUGUGUAUUUUAACUCACACUGUGAAGUUGGUACCAAAUCUCCAAGAGGAGACUUUUGCAAUUUGCAGACAUGAAACAUUGGAGUAUCAUUUACUCAUCAUUCAGCAGCAUCAUUUCUUCCAUUUGUUGAAGCAGUAACCAAAAUCAUAAGAACAACCAUAAGUGUUUUUUAUUACAGUAAACAUUAAUGUUUUAUCAGUAAUUUUGAUGUUUAUGUUGUGAAGUAUUUGACUUCUGGUUUGAGCUGUAUACUUUUAUUUUUGAUAUUGCUGCUGCAUAAAAGUUAGUUAGUUUUCUCCCAAAUACAGCAGUUAGCUUGUUUUUUUUUACAGAGCAACAAGAAAUACUGUUUCAUACUGGCAGCCCCUCUGGAGAGUAAAAAAGUGUGUUGAUUAUAAAAUGCAUUUUACAUUUAAUCUGUAUUUUGUCUGUUAAUAUUUGGCAUAAACAUAACAUAGCAUAUAAAUGGAAACACUGUAAAAAAUGGGUUAUGUGUUUCAGCGCCUGGUGUGACGUGGAUUUCAAUGCUACAAUGAAUGGGACAGCUUUUGAAGAAAUCAAAUCUCAUAAAA